Zonotrichia leucophrys gambelii is the source of this 1307-nucleotide long non-coding RNA. RefSeq lists it as uncharacterized. The transcript has 4 exons. The record is from RefSeq and is a predicted model, not a curated record. Lineage: Eukaryota; Metazoa; Chordata; Aves; Passeriformes; Passerellidae.
CUCUGACCAUUGUGGGCAGUCGAAGCCCGAAGCGCUGCACAAGCUCCGGGAAGGCGGGACGGAGGAGGAGCUGUGUUGGAAAAGCGGAAUGUGUCUGAAUGCCGGGGUUGGAUUACCGAAAGUCUGCAAAGCCUAUUUCUGUUGCAAGCAGUGUGCCUCUGGCCGUGCCUCUGUCUGCGAGUGAGCUCCGAGCGUUUUUACUUCUACCUUAUUUUGUCCCUUGCUGUAGUUUAAUAAAUUUUUUUAAAUUUUAAGAACGGACACGUCGUUUCUCACAACAAAGAAAAAAAAAUCACUUGAUUUUUACGGGGAAAAAGUCAAGAUCAAUUACUUCGGGGGUGUGGAAAUCUAACGGAGACAAAUUUGUAAAAUCAUUUCCGAGUCCUCUGUGAUUGCACCAAGCCUUGGGAAACAACAGCAGAAUUGGGAACAGAGAGGAGCCAGCAGGACAGGAAUGGGGAGCUCCUGCUGACCUGGCCACUUUCUCCUUCAUGUCCCUGACCCGGCAGGAGCCGCUUUAGGACAUGGAUCCCAAAGGAGCAAGAGGGACCAGGAAGCGCCGCUGAUCUGCACAGACCCCUUUGCCUGCUGCUGCCCCACAGGGAACAGGAGCCGCUUUAGGACAUGGAUCCCAAAGGAGCAAGAGGGACCAGGAAGCACCACUGAUCUGCACAGACCCCUUUGCCUGCUGCUGCCCCACAGGGAACAGGGAGCUGCUCAGGAGCCACAUGGUCCAUCCCUGGAUUCUCCAAGCACUGACUGCCCAUCCACUCUGACCACAGCCAGGGGCCACAUCCCACUGCCUGCCCAGCGUCCAUCCAUGGAGGUGACCACCGUGUCCCCAUCUCCUGCCUCACCCACUGAAGGAGAUGAUCUGUGUGAGACAGAUGUCACCACUGUGGCCAUACACAGUGUGACACUGCUCAUCUGCCUCUGUGGGCUGGCUGGGAACGGGGCUGUCAUCGGCCUCCUCAGCCUGCAAAGUGGUUUUUUCAGCUGGCUGAGGCAGAGAAGUUCCCUGGACUGUGGUUUUCCUUUGGCUUGGAACUGUUCAAACCUGCUCUGGACUGAAAACCCAGAAGAGCACCAGGAGCUCACACCUGUGGCCCACCGGGGCCUGGGACGCGGCAUUUUCCAGCACCAGAGGGACUGAUAAGGGACUGAGUGAGCCAAACUACACUCCACAACAAGGACUGUCUGAAUUUGCCAACUCUUCAGAAUAGCAAGAGAUUUUAUUGCUUCAUAUUGUUUUCAUUUACUAUGCUUGUGAGUACUUUCCUUGUUAAAUAAAGAGUUUUUUCCCCUUC